Molecule: ribosomal RNA, 970 nt
Filed under: Pseudoathelia septentrionalis
Lineage: Eukaryota; Fungi; Basidiomycota; Agaricomycetes; Amylocorticiales
Description: eukaryotic LSU rRNA
Rfam family: Eukaryotic large subunit ribosomal RNA
Source: RNAcentral
UUGACCUCAAAUCAGGUAGGACUACCCGCUGAACUUAAGCAUAUCAAUAAGCGGAGGAAAAGAAACUAACAAGGAUUCCCCUAGUAACUGCGAGUGAAGCGGGAAAAGCUCAAAUUUAAAAUCUGGCGGUCUUUAGGUCGUCCGAGUUGUAAUCUGGAGAAGUGUUUUCCGCGCUGGACCGUGUACAAGUCUCUUGGAACAGAGCGUCAUAGAGGGUGAGAAUCCCGUCUUUGACACGGACWACCAGUGCUAUGUGAUGCGCUCUCGAAGAGUCGAGUUGUUUGGGAAUGCAGCUCAAAAUGGGUGGUAAAUUCCAUCUAAAGCUAAAUAUUGGCGAGAGACCGAUAGCGAACAAGUACCGUGAGGGAAAGAUGAAAAGCACUUUGGAAAGAGAGUUAAACAGUACGUGAAAUUGUUGAAAGGGAAACGCUUGAAGUCAGUCGCGUCUGCCGAGGAUCAGCCUUGCUCUUUUGCUUGGUGCACUCUUGGCUGGACGGGUCAGCAUCAAUUUUGACCAUUGGAUAAAGAUCAGAGAAAGGUGGCUCUUUCGGGAGUGUUAUAGUCCUUGGUCGCAUACAAUGGUUGGGAUUGAGGAACUCAGCACGCCUUUAUGGCCGGGGUUCGCCCACGUWCGUGCUUAGGAUGCUGGCAUAAUGGCUUUAAGCGACCCGUCUUGAAACACGGACCAAGGAGUCUAACAUGCCCGCGAGUGUUUGGGUGGAAAACCCGGACGCGUAAUGAAAGUGAAAGUUGAGACCUCUGUCGUGGAGGGCAUCGACGCCCGGACCAGACCUUUUGUGACGGUUCCGCGGUAGAGCGUGUAUGUUGGGACCCGAAAGAUGGUGAACUAUGCCUGAAUAGGGUGAAGCCAGAGGAAACUCUGGUGGAGGCUCGUAGCGAUUCUGACGUGCAAAUCGAUCGUCAAAUUUGGGUAUAGGGGCGAAAGACUAAUCGAACCAUCUAGUAGCUG